UGUAUAUUAAAAAAACAUAAAAUUGUGAAAAACCUCCACACAGAUUUUAAAUUAGCCAGUUUACUAUAAAAACCUGUUCAUGUUGAACAUUAUUACAAUUCUCUGAUUUUUUCAGAACCUCGGACUUCUAAAUUAAUAUUUUAUCUCACAUCUUUCACAUUGCUGUUUUUCAGAAUGACUUAUUUAUUUCCCGAUGAGCUUUUUCAGCAGAAUGAGUCCGUCUGUCAAUUAAACAAGACAAGGCGGAGACACUUUUGUGAUUGGCUACUCCUUUACUCAGACAUAAGCAGCAGCAGCCUAACUACAUCCACUGAAGUUGCUUCAGCAACGUAGUGUUGCCUCAACACCAACAGUGUUGCCAGGUUGGAGGGUGUUAGACUAGGAGAAUGUUGAGGGUUUCAGGUUUAUUUAUUUCUACAUGCUAAUCGUGAUAUAGAAGGUAUAGGCUGUUUUUGGCUUCCAUAACUUUAGCAAUAAACAAAGCAGAAAUGUCACUGUUUAACAAAAAUACUAAAAAGGUUCUCCACAGUUUGUUUACCAUCAAAGUUUACAGACACUAUUAACAAACUGACAUUAUUUAUUAAUUGAUGGAAAAAAACUCCCAAACCUUUACACAAACACUUCACCGCCAUGAAAAGGUCACAUGAUUUUUGUAAUACAGUGUUCACUCACUGUACACGGUUCAACUCUUGCAGUGCAGACUUUUGACUCUGUCUGCUUUCCCACCAGUAGGUGGAGACAAUCCGUCCAUAUUAGCCCCGCCCUCAAACCCUCAAGGUGGGACAUCUGCGUCCAUCCUGUGAGCAGACAGGAGAGACCGACAGCUGAACACAUUAAACAUGAUUGUCUUCUUGUUCCUGUUGUUUCCAUCAGUGACUUCAGCUCCCUCCAGUAACGCCGUCCAGCAAACGCCCCCUUCCCUCAUCAGGAGUCCCGGUCAACCGGUUCCCAGCCAGAUCUACUGUUCACACAGCAUCACAAGCUUUGAUAACAUCCUCUGGUACAAACAAGACAGCGGGGGGGCUCUGAAGUACCUGGGAUAUCUGAACCUGCAGUUCCCCUAUCCAGAGAACGACGUGAAGGAGACCCUCAGCUUCAGCGGGGACGGCCGUUCGCACUCCAACCUCAGCUUUUCCAGGCUGUCUGAAGACGACUCCGCUGUGUAUUUCUGUGCUGCUAGGAGGGCACAGUGCAGCGGAGCCUCGCGCAGGCAAUGCAAAAACCCAGCAGACGGAGCGAAACAUCUGCGCAGCCGUCAUCGCAAAAACACAUCAGAAAAACAGUGGUGAAGGUUCACACGCCACUUCCUGGUU
Non-coding RNA from Oryzias latipes (Japanese medaka), 1313 nucleotides. NCBI's taxonomy places the organism in Eukaryota, Metazoa, Chordata, Actinopteri, Beloniformes, Adrianichthyidae. The record is from the annotation of a RefSeq genome assembly.